RNAcentral lists this ribosomal RNA (429 nucleotides) under Bacteroidota bacterium. Its description in RNAcentral is "Bacteroidetes bacterium partial 16S ribosomal RNA". It matches the Rfam family "Bacterial small subunit ribosomal RNA", at positions 355 to 776 of the family's 1533-position model. Lineage: Bacteria; Pseudomonadati; Bacteroidota. The record is from RNAcentral.
UAGGGAAUCUUCGGCAAUGGGGUGAACCCUGACCGAGCAACGCCGCGUGAGUGAAGAAGGUUUUCGGAUCGUAAAGCUCUGUUGUUAAGGAAGAACGAGUGUGAGAAUGGAAAGUUCAUACUGUGACGGUACUUAACCAGAAAGGGACGGCUAACUACGUGCCAGCAGCCGCGGUAAUACGUAGGUCCCGAGCGUUGUCCGGAUUUAUUGGGCGUAAAGCGAGCGCAGGCGGUUAGAUAAGUCUGAAGUUAAAGGCAGUGGCUCAACCAUUGUAGGCUUUGGAAACUGUUUAACUUGAGUGCAGAAGGGGAGAGUGGAAUUCCAUGUGUAGCGGUGAAAUGCGUAGAUAUAUGGAGGAACACCGGUGGCGAAAGCGGCUCUCUGGUCUGUAACUGACGCUGAGGCUCGAAAGCGUGGGGAGCGAACAGG